AGAUUGAACGCUGGCGGCAUGCCUAACACAUGCAAGUCGAACGGGAGUAGCAAUACUCUAGUGGCGGACGGGUGAGGAAUACGUAGGAAUUUGCCCUUAAGUGGGGGAUAACCCGGGGAAACCCGGAUUAAUACCGCAUGACCUCGAAAGAGCAAAGUGGGGGAUCGCAAGACCUCACGCUUUUGGAGAAGCCUACGUCGGAUUAGCUAGUUGGUGAGGUAAUGGCUCACCAAGGCGACGAUCCGUAACUGGUCUGAGAGGAUGAUCAGUCACACCGGAACUGAGACACGGUCCGGACUCCUACGGGAGGCAGCAGUGGGGAAUAUUGGACAAUGGGCGCAAGCCUGAUCCAGCAAUCG
Molecule: ribosomal RNA, 359 nt
Filed under: uncultured soil bacterium
Lineage: Bacteria
Description: bacterial SSU rRNA
Rfam family: Bacterial small subunit ribosomal RNA
Source: RNAcentral